CCUACGGGAGGCAGCAGUGAGGAAUAUUGGUCAAUGGCCGGAAGGCUGAACCAGCCAUGCCGCGUGAAGGUCAGUGCCCUAUGGGCGUUAAACUUCUUUUGUGCGGGAGCAAUAAUGGUCACGUGUGGCCAGACGAGAGUACCGUACGAAUAAGCAUCGGCUAACUCCGUGCCAGCAGCCGCGGUAAUACGGGGGAUGCAAGCGUUAUCCGGAUUUAUUGGGUUUAAAGGGUGCGUAGGCUGUGAGGUAAGUCAGCGGUGAAAUGCCCCCGCUCAACGGGGUGAAGUGCCAUUGAUACUGGCUGGCUGGAAUGCGGAUGCAGUGGGAGGAAUGUGUGGUGUAGCGGUGAAAUGCAUAGAUAUCACACAGAACACCGAUUGCGAAGGCAUCUCACGAAUCCGCGAUUGACGCUGAUGCACGAAAGCGUGGGUAUCAAACAGGAUUAGAGACCCUAGUAGUC
This 460-nucleotide ribosomal RNA is filed under the name uncultured bacterium. RNAcentral describes it as "partial 16S ribosomal RNA". It matches the Rfam family "Bacterial small subunit ribosomal RNA", at positions 338 to 795 of the family's 1533-position model. The record is from RNAcentral.